GACCGCGUAGCUCAGUUGGCAGAGCGUUGGGCUGGUAUUCCAAAGGUCGUAGGUUUGAUUCCCACCGUGGCCG
This 73-nucleotide transfer RNA is filed under the name Paramuricea clavata. It matches the Rfam family "tRNA". From Rfam's summary of the family: Transfer RNA (tRNA) molecules are approximately 80 nucleotides in length. Their secondary structure includes four short double-helical elements and three loops (D, anti-codon, and T loops). The record is from Rfam by way of RNAcentral. Lineage: Eukaryota; Metazoa; Cnidaria; Anthozoa; Malacalcyonacea; Plexauridae.